Molecule: ribosomal RNA, 1361 nt
Filed under: uncultured bacterium
Lineage: Bacteria
Description: bacterial SSU rRNA
Rfam family: Bacterial small subunit ribosomal RNA
Source: RNAcentral
AUUGAACGCUGGCGGCAGGCCUAACACAUGCAAGUCGAGCGGUAGCACAGAGAGCUUGCUCUCGGGUGACGAGCGGCGGACGGGUGAGUAAUGUCUGGGAAACUGCCUGAUGGAGGGGGAUAACUACUGGAAACGGUAGCUAAUACCGCAUAACGUCGCAAGACCAAAGUGGGGGACCUUCGGGCCUCAUGCCAUCAGAUGUGCCCAGAUGGGAUUAGCUAGUAGGUGGGGUAACGGCUCACCUAGGCGACGAUCCCUAGCUGGUCUGAGAGGAUGACCAGCCACACUGGAACUGAGACACGGUCCAGACUCCUACGGGAGGCAGCAGUGGGGAAUAUUGCACAAUGGGCGCAAGCCUGAUGCAGCCAUGCCGCGUGUGUGAAGAAGGCCUUCGGGUUGUAAAGCACUUUCAGCGGGGAGGAAGGCGUUAAGGUUAAUAACCUUGGCGAUUGACGUUACCCGCAGAAGAAGCACCGGCUAACUCCGUGCCAGCAGCCGCGGUAAUACGGAGGGUGCAAGCGUUAAUCGGAAUUACUGGGCGUAAAGCGCACGCAGGCGGUCUGUCAAGUCGGAUGUGAAAUCCCCGGGCUCAACCUGGGAACUGCAUUCGAAACUGGCAGGCUAGAGUCUUGUAGAGGGGGGUAGAAUUCCAGGUGUAGCGGUGAAAUGCGUAGAGAUCUGGAGGAAUACCGGUGGCGAAGGCGGCCCCCUGGACAAAGACUGACGCUCAGGUGCGAAAGCGUGGGGAGCAAACAGGAUUAGAUACCCUGGUAGUCCACGCCGUAAACGAUGUCGAUUUGGAGGUUGUGCCCUUGAGGCGUGGCUUCCGGAGCUAACGCGUUAAAUCGACCGCCUGGGGAGUACGGCCGCAAGGUUAAAACUCAAAUGAAUUGACGGGGGCCCGCACAAGCGGUGGAGCAUGUGGUUUAAUUCGAUGCAACGCGUAGAACCUUACCUGGUCUUGACAUCCACAGAACUUUCCAGAGAUGGAUUGGUGCCUUCGGGAACUGUGAGACAGGUGCUGCAUGGCUGUCGUCAGCUCGUGUUGUGAAAUGUUGGGUUAAGUCCCGCAACGAGCGCAACCCUUAUCCUUUGUUGCCAGCGGUCCGGCCGGGAACUCAAAGGAGACUGCCAGUGAUAAACUGGAGGAAGGUGGGGAUGACGUCAAGUCAUCAUGGCCCUUACGACCAGGGCUACACACGUGCUACAAUGGCAUAUACAAAGAGAAGCGACCUCGCGAGAGCAAGCGGACCUCAUAAAGUAUGUCGUAGUCCGGAUUGGAGUCUGCAACUCGACUCCAUGAAGUCGGAAUCGCUAGUAAUCGUAGAUCAGAAUGCUACGGUGAAUACGUUCCCGGGCCU